This 600-nucleotide long non-coding RNA is filed under the name Sus scrofa (pig). Its description in RNAcentral is "lncRNA (ENSSSCG00050039490.1)". Lineage: Eukaryota; Metazoa; Chordata; Mammalia; Artiodactyla; Suidae. The record is from RNAcentral.
GGUGGCUGGCCUGACCUUGAUCAUCUGCCUGUGGGGCUCCCUGGGGCACAGUUGGGAAUUUGUCCAUGGCACUGGGGCCUGGGCAUGGGAGGCAAGGCCGGGCAGUGGGAGGUGCCCUGAAUUGGUGAUCCAGCCACUUAAGCACUGAACCUCAAUACAGGAGACGUCACAGGAUUGCUGUAAGGAUCUAAAGAGCUGCCUCAGAAGAGAAGAAGGAACGGACACAAAUGAAAAUCAGAACACUAAAGAGAUUCAAAGAUUUGUCAUUUCCCUUCUGCUCAUGAAGGCCCUUGAUAGCUACACACGCAGUCAAGGCAACAAGCAAGCCUUCCACAUCCACGGUGGAUGGAGGCGCUCUUGAAAGGGGAGCCUUAGGAUGAAGGGAAAGGAAAAUGACCAGAAGGAAAGGACGGUGGGAGCGUAAAGAAGACUGACCUUGCACAGGGAAGGUGUGGACUUCUAGCCCAGCUAGAGCUGGAUGUCUGCUUGCCCGACCCCGUGUCCUUGAGAAGGUCAGCUUCGAAGCCUCAGUCUCCCCACCUAUGAAACGAGGAUGCGGGUCUCCAACUCACCCACAGUGCGGCCCCCUCGAAAGACUCA